Molecule: unclassified non-coding RNA, 433 nt
Filed under: soil metagenome
Description: partial contains 5.8S ribosomal RNA, internal transcribed spacer 2, and large subunit ribosomal RNA
Rfam family: 5.8S ribosomal RNA (bases 1-120)
Source: RNAcentral
GAUGAAGAACGUAGCGAAAUGCGAUACGUAAUGUGAAUUGCAGAAUUCAGUGAAUCAUCGAAUCUUUGAACGCAUAUUGCGCUCUCUGGUAUUCCGGAGAGCAUUCUUGUUUGAGUAUCAGUAAACACCUCAACUUCCAUAUCUUUUUUGAAAUGGGAGUUGGACUUGAGUGAUCCCAACGCUUUUCCUCACCGAAAAGUGGCGGGUUACUUGAAAUGCAGGUGCAGCUGGACUUUUCUCUGAGCUAUAAGCAUAUCUAUUUAGUCUGCCUAAAAAACAGAUUAUUACCUUUGCUGCAGCUAACAUAAAGGAGAUUAGUUCUUGUGCUGACUGAUGCAGGAUUCACAAAGACAGGCUUCGGCCGACUUUGUAAACUCGAUCUCAAAUCAAGUAAGACUACCCGCUGAACUUAAGCAUAUCAAUAAGCGGAGGA